RNAcentral lists this ribosomal RNA (459 nucleotides) under uncultured bacterium. RNAcentral's name for it is "partial 16S ribosomal RNA". It matches the Rfam family "Bacterial small subunit ribosomal RNA", at positions 338 to 795 of the family's 1533-position model. The record is from RNAcentral.
CCUACGGGUGGCAGCAGUGAGGAAUAUUGGUCAAUGGGCGCAAGCCUGAACCAGCCAAGUCGCGUGAGGGAAGACGGCCCUAUGGAUUGUAAACCUCUUUUGCAGGGGAGCAAAAGCCGCCACGCGUGGCGUUCCGAGAGUACCCGAAGAAAAAGCAUCGGCUAAUUCCGUGCCAGCAGCCGCGGUAAUACGGAGGGUGCGAGCGUUAUCCGGAUUUAUUGGGUUAAAAGGGAGCGCAGGCGGAAGAUCAAGUCAGCGGUAAAAUUGCGGGGCUCAACCUCUACGAGCAGUUGAAACUGGUUAUCUUGAGUGCGCGAGAGGCAUGCGGAAUUCGUGGUGUAGCGGUGAAAUGCAUAGAUAUCACGAAGAACUCCGAUUGCGAAGGCAGCAUGCCGGCGCUCAACUGACGCUGAUGCACGAAAGUGUGGGUAUCGAACAGGAUUAGAUACCCGUGUAGUC